CGAGACCAGGUUAAGAAAGGCACGUGCAGUGGAAGAACCGUGUUAGUGCACGCGUUCCUUGUUAGUGCACGCGAUGCUGGAAGUCAGCAUGCAGUAAACAUCUCAGCUUUGGCCAUCGGUGUGUCAGGGCAUGCUGAAGGCACGACAGCAGACGAGUUUCUGUCCAUUCUGGCUGAUGUGCCAACCGAGGGCGAGCAGACGUGCUGCCAUCUCCGACACCGGGAUGGAAUACACGCCAGCUGUGGGCACGAGGCUGGCUGAGCGUUGCCACCCCUUACCUGCAGCAGCAAACAGCAAGUCCCCAUCCCGUAUCAGUGCUGCAACGAGGCCUCGUUCAGAGCAAAGAUGCACAAAGACGAGGAGGACUCCCGUAGGGGGGUGCCCGCCCGCACCGCAGCAGCAAGUCCGAGCAGCCCCCGGUGCUGGCGGUGGGCUGAGGGCUGGUCCCGAAGGGAUGCUGCCGCUGAUAGCCGCUGUCGCCGAAGCUUUGGGCCACGGCCCUAUCGCACGCACACAUCUCGCAGAAACUUGA
Molecule: long non-coding RNA, 532 nt
Filed under: Anser cygnoides (Swan goose)
Lineage: Eukaryota; Metazoa; Chordata; Aves; Anseriformes; Anatidae
Description: lncRNA (ENSACDG00005004052.1)
Source: RNAcentral